AGUUGGUUGAAUCCGGGCCAAAU
Molecule: microRNA, 23 nt
Filed under: Tetranychus urticae (two-spotted spider mite)
Lineage: Eukaryota; Metazoa; Arthropoda; Arachnida; Trombidiformes; Tetranychidae
Description: tur-miR-133-5p
Gene: tur-miR-133-5p
Source: miRBase by way of RNAcentral